CCCCGCCCUCGCCGGGGACACGUGGGCGGGACCCGGCACGUUCGCAGGUGCCCGGGCGGCGGCAGAAACAUCCACUGUGGCUAGUAUUGGAGGCCCAGUGUGACCUACCUGACCCACCUGACCCGCUCAAGUCCCCCUAGUGCCCCUCCAGCAAUGCCCUUCUCAGCUCAGGCCUUGGCAUGAAGAGAUGUGCACACGUGCAAGAUGCUGAUUGCCCUGCAGCAUGCUGCAUACUUAAAGCACCCGAUUAUGGAGAAGAACGCCUCAGUUCCUGGGGAAAGUGAUGGCUGAUCUCAGGGUGUUUAUCAUGUGGGAGGAAGAAUCACGGUGUUUCCGGCCUUCUAGUUUUUCACAAGUUAGUCAAGCAGACUUGAGGAUGUGCUCCAGCAAAACAAGGGAGUGAGCGAAUGAAGAAACAAUCAAGUGCCACCCAGGACAGGGAGCUCUCUCACCCCUUCCACCACUGAGGACACAGCAAGAGGCACCAUCUAAGAACAAGAAAGUGGCCUUCACCAGAUACGGGAUUUGCUGGCACCUUAAUCUUGGACUUUCAGCCUCCAG
Molecule: long non-coding RNA, 561 nt
Organism: Cynocephalus volans (Philippine flying lemur)
Lineage: Eukaryota; Metazoa; Chordata; Mammalia; Dermoptera; Cynocephalidae
Exons: 4
Source: RefSeq, a predicted model, not a curated record